UUGAAUACAAAUUGGAUAGUGAAGUUCGGAUAUUUGAGAUUGACCUAUCUUUUAAAAUAUUUUGCUUAAUAUAUAUAUAUAUAUAUAUAUAUUAGCUUAAUAUGCUCGCUCAUUCUUUUUCACAUAUCAAACCAGCAGCUAUCAAAUUGAGCAGGUAGCACGUAUGACUCUUAUUUUAUGUAUCAACUCUUUCUAUCAAACUAUCGUCAAGUCUCUCCCUUGUCUCUAGAAGUUUCAUAUUGACUCUCUACCAAAGUUUCGGCUUUUGAGCUUUUCUUUGAGCUGUCGUUGGGUCUCUGGACCGCUACCACUCACCUCACCAUUUUUUCCUUCUCCUUUUUUAGACGAAAUAAUCUCAAGACCUCGCCUUUUCAUUUACUCUCCGUUCAGCCUUAGGCCGUCCGGGAAAGGCUGCCUAGGAUCUUGCUCGCCCCAUGAGUUUUCGUUCGUGGUUCGCUGGUUCUUAUCCUAUUGGUAUUUUGCUUUUGACGAUAUUUUAGUGAAGCUCUUUCGCUCUCACGAUGUUGCGGUGUCGACAUCUCUCUACGUCUCCAUUAGCUUGAACACCGAUGGCAAGUUGAAGUCAUCGCACUAGGUCUCAUUUUGCUGGUUGUUGUUGCUCCCUCCUCCUCGGUGUUUUCAGUUGGCUCCUCAAUUGCUUUGGCAUCGUUUUUUUUUAUGUGGGCUUCACAUGGCAAGGUCUUUGCCGGAAGCACGCAUGCUGAUGGUUGGUUGCAACUGACCAUUUUCUAGUGAUAUGAUUUAUCUGAAAAAUAAAAAUAAAAAACACUUUCAAACUCUUUAGUAUUUUAAAGUAACUUGCCUUCCUAGUUCACUUAUACCCUUUAUUAACUUGACAAUUGAAGCGGAUCAUGGAGCAUAAGCUCCAAAAUUUCCAGAAUUUAGGGGUAUCACCAAGAGAUAGAUAGCGGCCUUGGUCCCUAUAGUUUUU
Molecule: long non-coding RNA, 952 nt
Filed under: Gossypium barbadense (sea-island cotton)
Lineage: Eukaryota; Viridiplantae; Streptophyta; Magnoliopsida; Malvales; Malvaceae
Description: long non-coding RNA (GBAR_LNC011060)
Source: RNAcentral